CGGGCCAGAGCUUGAAAUGAAGCGUUUUAUUUACAUUAAAAAGUUAGUUGUGAAAUUCAACUUGGCUUGA
This 70-nucleotide transfer RNA is filed under the name Agrianome spinicollis. Its description in RNAcentral is "tRNA-Val". Lineage: Eukaryota; Metazoa; Arthropoda; Insecta; Coleoptera; Cerambycidae. The record is from RNAcentral.